Molecule: non-coding RNA, 291 nt
Organism: Cavia porcellus (domestic guinea pig)
Lineage: Eukaryota; Metazoa; Chordata; Mammalia; Rodentia; Caviidae
Rfam family: 7SK RNA
About the family: 7SK was discovered as an abundant small nuclear RNA in the mid-70s but a possible function has only recently been suggested. Two independent studies have found that 7SK RNA binds the CDK9/cyclin T complex (known as elongation factor P-TEFb).
Source: Rfam
GAGUUAUGAGGAUGAUCUGGCUGUGACAUCUGUCAGUCCAUUGAUCACCAGGGUGGAUUUGGCUGAUCUGGCUGACUAGGCAGAUGUUCCCUUCCUCCUUCACUAUUUCUUGUGCUUCUUUCCCAAGCUGCAUGCUCUGCCAAAAAGGAUGGCCACCCUUGAUAGAGCAGGACUUGUUUCCUAGGUCAAGGGUGUAGGAGUAGCUGUGCUUCCCUGUUAAAAUCUCCAGACACCACAGGGAAACAUUUUUAUUUUUUUAAAUUUGUUUAUAUUAUUGUCUUAUUAUUUUAC